UGGAUAACUUCGGGAAACCGGAGCUAAUACUGGAUAAUAUUUUGAACCGCAUGGUUCAAAAGUGAAAGACGGUCUUGCUGUCACUUAUAGAUGGAUCCGCGCUGCAUUAGCUAGUUGGUAAGGUAACGGCUUACCAAGGCAACGAUGCAUAGCCGACCUGAGAGGGUGAUCGGCCACACUGGAACUGAGACACGGUCCAG
This 200-nucleotide ribosomal RNA is filed under the name uncultured Staphylococcus sp. RNAcentral describes it as "partial 16S ribosomal RNA". It matches the Rfam family "Bacterial small subunit ribosomal RNA", at positions 140 to 334 of the family's 1533-position model. Lineage: Bacteria; Bacillati; Bacillota; Bacilli; Caryophanales; Staphylococcaceae. The record is from RNAcentral.